RNAcentral lists this ribosomal RNA (314 nucleotides) under Acinetobacter sp. F(2010). RNAcentral's name for it is "bacterial SSU rRNA". It matches the Rfam family "Bacterial small subunit ribosomal RNA", at positions 202 to 505 of the family's 1533-position model. Lineage: Bacteria; Pseudomonadati; Pseudomonadota; Gammaproteobacteria; Moraxellales; Moraxellaceae. The record is from RNAcentral.
AUCACUUGUGACCUUGCGUUAAUAGAUGAGCCUAAGUCGGAUUAGCUAGUUGGUGGGGUAAAGGCCUACCAAGGCGACGAUCUGUAGCGGGUCUGAGAGGAUGAUCCGCCACACUGGGACUGAGACACGGCCCAGACUCCUACGGGAGGCAGCAGUGGGGAAUAUUGGACAAUGGGGGGAACCCUGAUCCAGCCAUGCCGCGUGUGUGAAGAAGGCCUUAUGGUUGUAAAGCACUUUAAGCGAGGAGGAGGCUCUCUUGGUUAAUACCCAAGAUGAGUGGACGUUACUCGCAGAAUAAGCACCGGCUAACUCUG